RNAcentral lists this ribosomal RNA (632 nucleotides) under Kneiffiella altaica. RNAcentral's name for it is "partial large subunit ribosomal RNA". It matches the Rfam family "Eukaryotic large subunit ribosomal RNA", at positions 50 to 658 of the family's 3401-position model. Lineage: Eukaryota; Fungi; Basidiomycota; Agaricomycetes; Hymenochaetales. The record is from RNAcentral.
GCGGAGGAAAAGAAACUAACAAGGAUUCCCCUAGUAACUGCGAGUGAAGCGGGAAGAGCUCAAAUUUAAAAUCUGGCGGUCACCGGCCGUCCGAGUUGUAAUCUGGAGAAGCGUUUUCCGUGCCGGACCGUGUACAAGUCUCUUGGAACAGAGCGUCAUAGAGGGUGAGAAUCCCGUCCAUGACACGGAUCGCCGGUGCUUUGUGAUACGCUUUCGAAGAGUCGAGUUGUUUGGGAAUGCAGCUCAAAAUGGGUGGUAAAUUCCAUCUAAAGCUAAAUAUUGGCGAGAGACCGAUAGCGAACAAGUACCGUGAGGGAAAGAUGAAAAGCACUUUGGAAAGAGAGUUAAACAGUACGUGAAAUUGUUGAAAGGGAAACGCUUGAAGUCAGUCGCGUCGUCCGGGACUCAGCCUUGCUCCUGCAUGGUGUACUUCCCGUUCGACGGGUCAACAUCGAUUUUGACCGGCGGAUAAAGGCAGGGGGAAUGUGGCACCUUCGGGUGUGUUAUAGCCCUUUGUCGCAUACGUCGGUUGGGAUCGAGGACCGCAGCGCGCCCUCUUUGGGCCGGGGGGUUCGCCCCCACGUAACGCGCUUAGGAUGUUGGCAUAAUGGCUUUAAGCGACCCGUCUUGAA